Molecule: ribosomal RNA, 471 nt
Filed under: uncultured bacterium
Lineage: Bacteria
Description: bacterial SSU rRNA
Rfam family: Bacterial small subunit ribosomal RNA
Source: RNAcentral
CCGCGCCCGGCCUGCUGCCCCGCCCCCCUACGGGAGGCAGCAGUGGGGAAUUUUGGACAAUGGGGCAAGCCUGAUCCAGCCAUGCCGCGUGUGUGAAGAAGGCCUUCGGGUUGUAAAGCACUUUUAUCCGGAAUGAAAUCGCGGGGGUUAAUAUCUCGGGUGGAUGACGGUACCGGAAGAAGAAGCACGGGCUAACUACGUGCCAGCAGCCGCGGUAAUACGUAGGGUGCGAGCGUUAAUCGGAAUUACUGGGCGUAAAGGAGGGCAGGCGGCCSCGCAAGUCAGGCGUGAAAUCCCCGGGCUUAACCUGGGAAUGGCGUUCGAAACUAAGGGGCUGGAGUAUGUCAGAGGGAGGUGGAAUUACACGUGUAGCGGUGAAUUGAGUAGAUAUAUGUAGGAACAAACACGGCGAAGGCAGCCUCCUGGAUCAAAACUGACGGUCAUGCACGAAAGCUUGGGGAGCAAACAGGA